GAUGAAGAACGUAGCGAAAUGCGAUAAGUAAUGUGAAUUGCAGAAUUCAGUGAAUCAUCGAAUCUUUGAACGCACAUUGCGCCCGCCAGUAUUCUGGCGGGCAUGCCUGUCCGAGCGUCAUUUCAACCCUCGAACCCCUCCGGGGGUCCGGCGUUGGGGAUCGGGAACCCCUAAGACGGGAUCCCGGCCCCGAAAUACAGUGGCGGUCUCGCCGUGGCCCUCCUCUGCGCAGUAGUAAAACACUCGCAACAGGAGCCCGGCGCGGUCCACUGCCGUAAAACCCCCCAACUUUUUAUAGUUGACCUCGAAUCAGGUAGGACUACCCGCUGAACUUAAGCAUAUCAAUAAGCGGAGGA
RNAcentral lists this unclassified non-coding RNA (356 nucleotides) under soil metagenome. RNAcentral describes it as "partial contains 5.8S ribosomal RNA, internal transcribed spacer 2, and large subunit ribosomal RNA". The stretch from base 1 to 120 matches the Rfam family "5.8S ribosomal RNA", at positions 35 to 154 of the family's 154-position model. The record is from RNAcentral.